CUGCAUUUUCUUAUUUUGUUAAUGUAGGUAUGAGUUUUAGAGGAGAGGAGAAUAUUUCUGAUGACCCUAAUCCCUCCACAGCCUCUAUUGGAAGUCAACCAGGCUCUUGUGAACAAAAUUGUAUGACCAUUAAUUAUGUAGUGUUUCUUUAUUAACAUUGUAUUUAUUGUAAGCAUAAUUAGUGACUUACACUGUGUGCCCACUUACACGUACUGUACUUGUACCUGUAUGUCUACAUCAUUUUGUGUUUUCCAUUAUUCUUUGACUUUA
This is a long non-coding RNA of Amphimedon queenslandica, 270 nucleotides long. RefSeq lists it as uncharacterized. The record is from RefSeq and is a predicted model, not a curated record. NCBI's taxonomy places the organism in Eukaryota, Metazoa, Porifera, Demospongiae, Haplosclerida, Niphatidae. The transcript is spliced from 2 exons.